RNAcentral lists this transfer RNA (58 nucleotides) under Linyphia triangularis. RNAcentral describes it as "tRNA-Leu". The record is from RNAcentral. Lineage: Eukaryota; Metazoa; Arthropoda; Arachnida; Araneae; Linyphiidae.
AUUGGCAGAUCAGUGCACUAAGUUUAAGCCUUAGAAACAAAUUAUAAUCAUUCUAAUA